This 78-nucleotide microRNA precursor is filed under the name Lotus japonicus. RNAcentral describes it as "miR11068e stem-loop (lja-MIR11068e)". The record is from miRBase by way of RNAcentral. Lineage: Eukaryota; Viridiplantae; Streptophyta; Magnoliopsida; Fabales; Fabaceae.
AGCACCUCCAAUGUAAAGUUCUUAGUUCUUAGUUUUUAACUCAAAAAUAAAAACUAAGAACCUUGCAUUGAAGAUGCU